CACUUGUGGGGGGAUUAGUGGCGAACGGGUGAGUAACACGUGAGUAACCUGCCCUUAACUCUGGGAUAAGCCUGGGAAACUGGGUCUAAUACCGGAUAUGACUCCUCAUCGCAUGGUGGGGGGUGGAAAGCUUUUUGUGGUUUUGGAUGGACUCGCGGCCUAUCAGCUUGUUGGUGAGGUAAUGGCUCACCAAGGCGACGACGGGUAGCCGGCCUGAGAGGGUGACCGGCCACACUGGGACUGAGACACGGCCCAGACUCCUACGGGAGGCAGCAGUGGGGAAUAUUGCACAAUGGGCGAAAGCCUGAUGCAGCGACGCCGCGUGAGGGAUGACGGCCUUCGGGUUGUAAACCUCUUUCAGUAGGGAAGAAGCGAAAGUGACGGUACCUGCAGAAGAAGCGCCGGCUAACUACGUGCCAGCAGCCGCGGUAAUACGUAGGGCGCAAGCGUUAUCCGGAAUUAUUGGGCGUAAAGAGCUCGUAGGCGGUUUGUCGCGUCUGCCGUGAAAGUCCGGGGCUCAACUCCGGAUCUGCGGUGGGUACGGGCAGACUAGAGUGAUGUAGGGGAGACUGGAAUUCCUGGUGUAGCGGUGAAAUGCGCAGAUAUCAGGAGGAACACCGAUGGCGAAGGCAGGUCUCUGGGCAUUAACUGACGCUGAGGAGCGAAAGCAUGGGGAGCGAACAGGAUUAGAUACCCUGGUAGUCCAUGCCGUAAACGUUGGGCACUAGGUGUGGGGGACAUUCCACGUUUUCCGCGCCGUAGCUAACGCAUUAAGUGCCCCGCCUGGGGAGUACGGCCGC
RNAcentral lists this ribosomal RNA (800 nucleotides) under Pseudarthrobacter sulfonivorans. Its description in RNAcentral is "bacterial SSU rRNA". It matches the Rfam family "Bacterial small subunit ribosomal RNA", at positions 77 to 889 of the family's 1533-position model. Lineage: Bacteria; Bacillati; Actinomycetota; Actinomycetes; Micrococcales; Micrococcaceae. The record is from RNAcentral.